Betta splendens (Siamese fighting fish) is the source of this 1997-nucleotide long non-coding RNA. Lineage: Eukaryota; Metazoa; Chordata; Actinopteri; Anabantiformes; Osphronemidae. The record is from Ensembl.
ACACGCACGCACGCACGCACACACACACACACACACACACACACACACACACACACACACACACACACACACACACACACACACACACACACACACACACACACACACACACACACACACACACACACACACACACACACACACACACACACACACACACACACACACACACACACACACACACACACACACACACACACUCUCUGUCCUCUUUGAAGGGCAGACUUACACAUCCAGCUGAAGGACAACAGCAGGUCCAGUGCUGCAAGAUCAGAUUUUACUGUAAAUAUUGAAUAAUGAACUAGAGUUAUAUAAAGGAAAGACUAAGGAGACUCUAUUGUACGUUGAGAUAUAGCUGCUUUGACAAACUCAAUAUAAAGUGUGUGUGUAACUGCCUAAUAAACAAUAAUCCAACGUGAUGCUGCAGUCAGGAAACAUCCUGCAUGGUGUCAGUCUUACAGUGAGUGCGUAGCAGCAGGGGUUUACCCGCUGCUUGACUUGAACAGAGUCUGGUCCAGGCAGUGAUCUGAGGGAGCUUAAAUAUGGUGUAAUGGCCGGUAGCACACGUGUCAGUUACUGCGGCUCGAGCACAGAAGCUCCCUAGAGAUUUUGGCAUGUUGUGCUUUUUGGCCUUUAAAGCAAUACCAACCCAAACUAGCCUUCGCUGACAACAUCACAAGCUCUGCCGGGGAUGGACAUGAGCAGCAGCUGCUCGCCAGGCGAGGACUCGCUGGUUAUGCUGCACGCGUCAGGAUGUCCACACCUUAAAGCUACUGUACUGCUGAGACAGGGAGUCUCAGCAAGCCCUGAAGGCGGGCUCUGCAUUAGCCGCUGUGUUAUCCCUCGUGUUGCGCUGGGUGCAGGCAUGUGCACACCUCCAGUCCCAAGGCUCCACACACAAGCACGCCGUGUCGUCACCUGCAGCUGCACUGGUCCCGACUGGCUGGACCUGUCAUGGCAGCGCCCGCGUUGCUUCCCGCUGGGGAGACACUAUUAAUUGGUCAUUUGUUUUUUCACCUGUCUGGGGCGCUUAUGUAACCGGCAAACUGGCAACGAGGUCACGGCUCCUCACGCAGAGGCCAACGUUGAUCCCUGAUCCGCCUGCUGUUUGCGAGCCUGACCUGCUGAGGGGGUUAUGAAACGCUUUCUAUAUUGGUGUAAUUAUGUGUUGACAUUUGAGCAUCAUAAAACACUGAUAAGUACACAGGUGUAUUGAAUAUGUAAUUAUGUAAUGAUGUUUAUCUUGCAUUAUUUGUAAUUGAAAUUCGCUGAGUGUCAGUUCCUGAACCCUGUAAAACAAAGGCCAUGCGUGCUGUGAAAUCUGACCUACUGGCUGAAGAGCGUCCUUGGAUUAGCAUUUAUUGCCAUAACCUCUGUCAUUACAUUCAUACCAGAGAUUUUAUGGAGAGAAGUCACCCUCAUUCAGACGCCGCUGCCUGGAAUCUGAGCAAGGUGCUAAGAAGCCUCCCGCCACACCCUAAGCAUGUUGUGAAACAGUUGCUCUGUCAAAGUGACAAUGCAACUUGUGUUACAUCUCUCACACCGGCAGAACCAGAUGUGUUCAAAUGGAGAAAAUCAUUAACAAUACGCAGAAAAUGAAACACUCCUGACAGAUUAUGACCUGAUUGACUGUAACCAGGUUUUAUCCUGCCUUGUCUCAAUCGUUUUACUGCAGAUUUCACUUCAGUAAAACAUUAUGUAAUAUUCAUAAUUCAGGUUCUGGGAAUUUUUUUGGUCAUUUGUGAAAUGUCCUUUAGAUCACAUGCACAGAGGAGCUGGACCACGAACUCCACGGGGGAGUCUGAUCCGUGGGGUUUGGCCACUGCCUGAGUGCACGUGAGAAACCACACAGAAAAUUCCUUGUGUUGUUUUUAAGAAAUGAACUCAAUGAAUUCACUUCUCAGACAUCACAACAAUUGAACCUGUAAUCUCUUAAAAAGUACGAGCAUCAUUAUUUGAAAUGGACUAGAGAUGUGUAAAUGCAGUGAACUAAAUUG